CCUACGGGAGGCAGCAGUGGGGAAUUUUGGACAAUGGGCGCAAGCCUGAUCCAGCAAUGCCGCGUGAGUGAAGAAGGCCUUCGGGUUGUAAAGCUCUUUUGUCAGGGAAGAAACGGCUGAGGUUAAUACCUUUGGCUAAUGACGGUACCUGAAGAAUAAGCACCGGCUAACUACGUGCCAGCAGCCGCGGUAAUACGUAGGGUGCAAGCGUUAAUCGGAAUUACUGGGCGUAAAGCGUGCGCAGGCGGUUUUGUAAGUCUGACGUGAAAUCCCCGGGCUCAACCUGGGAAUUGCGUUGGAGACUGCAAGGCUGGAGUCUGGCAGAGGGGGGUAGAAUUCCACGUGUAGCAGUGAAAUGCGUAGAGAUGUGGAGGAACACCGAUGGCGAAGGCAGCCCCCUGGGUCAAGACUGACGCUCAUGCACGAAAGCGUGGGGAGCAAACAGGAUUAGAUACCCUGGUAGUCCACGCCCUAAACGAUGUCUACUAGUUGUCGGGUCUUAAUUGACUUGGUAACGCAGCUAACGCGUGAAGUAGACCGCCUGGGGAGUACGGUCGCAAGAUUAAAACUCAAAUGAAAUUGACGG
RNAcentral lists this ribosomal RNA (586 nucleotides) under uncultured bacterium. RNAcentral's name for it is "bacterial SSU rRNA". It matches the Rfam family "Bacterial small subunit ribosomal RNA", at positions 338 to 916 of the family's 1533-position model. The record is from RNAcentral.